CGCCUGGGGAGUGCGGCCGCAAGGUUAAAACUCAAAUGAAUUGACGGGGGCCCGCACAAGCGGUGGAGCAUGUGGUUUAAUUCGACGCAACGCGAAGAACCUUACCUGGCCUUGACAUGCAGAGAACUUUCUAGAGAUGGAUUGGUGCCUUCGGGAACUCUGACACAGGUGCUGCAUGGCCGUCGUCAGCUCGUGUCGUGAGAUGUUGGGUUAAGUCCCGUAACGAGCGCAACCCCUAUCCCUAGUUGCUAGCAGUUCGGCUGAGAACUCUAGGGAGACUGCCGGUGACAAACCGGAGGAAGGUGGGGAUGACGUCAGGUCAUCAUGGCCCUUACGGCCAGGGCUACACACGUGCUACAAUGGUGCGCACAGAGGGCUGCAAACCCGCGAGGGGGAGCCAAUCUCACAAAACGCAUCGUAGUCCGGAUCGCAGUCUGCAACUCGACUGCGUGAAGUCGGAAUCGCUAGUAAUCGUGAAUCAGAACGUCACGGUGAAUACGUUCCCGGGCCUUGUACACACCGCCCGUCACACCAUGGGAGUGGAUUGCACCAGAAGUGGUUAGUCUAACCUUCGGGAGGACGAUCACCACGGUGUGGUUCAUGACUGGGGUGAAGUCGUAACAAGGUAACCGUA
This 634-nucleotide ribosomal RNA is filed under the name uncultured Marinobacter sp. RNAcentral's name for it is "bacterial SSU rRNA". It matches the Rfam family "Bacterial small subunit ribosomal RNA", at positions 870 to 1504 of the family's 1533-position model. The record is from RNAcentral. Lineage: Bacteria; Pseudomonadati; Pseudomonadota; Gammaproteobacteria; Pseudomonadales; Marinobacteraceae.